CCUACGGGCGGCUGCAGUGGGGAAUAUUGGACAAUGGGGGGAACCCUGAUCCAGCCAUGCCGCGUGUGUGAAGAAGGCCCUCGGGUUGUAAAGCACUUUCAGUGAGGAAGAACGCCUGGUGGUUAAUACCCAUCAGGAAAGACAUCACUCACAGAAGAAGCACCGGCUAACUCCGUGCCAGCAGCCGCGGUAAUACGGAGGGUGCGAGCGUUAAUCGGAAUUACUGGGCGUAAAGCGCGCGUAGGUGGCUUGAUAAGCCGGUUGUGAAAACCCCGGGCUCAACCUGGGAACGGCAUCCGGAACUGUCAAGCUAGAGUGCAGGAGAGGAAGGUAGAAUUCCCGGUGUAGCGGUGAAAUGCGUAGAGAUCGGGAGGAAUACCAGUGGCGAAGGCGGCCUUCUGGACUGACACUGACACUGAGGUGCGAAAGCGUGGGUAGCAAACAGGAUUAGAUACCCCAGUAGUC
RNAcentral lists this ribosomal RNA (465 nucleotides) under Vreelandella stevensii. RNAcentral's name for it is "partial 16S ribosomal RNA". It matches the Rfam family "Bacterial small subunit ribosomal RNA", at positions 338 to 795 of the family's 1533-position model. The record is from RNAcentral. Lineage: Bacteria; Pseudomonadati; Pseudomonadota; Gammaproteobacteria; Oceanospirillales; Halomonadaceae.